GCGUAAUAGCUCACUAGUCGAGUGACUCUGCGCCGAAAAUGUACCGGGGCUAAAUACACCACCGAAGCUGCGAAUUGAUACCUAUGGUAUCAGUGGUAGGGGAGCGUUCUAAGGGCAGUGAAGUCAGACCGUAAGGACUGGUGGAGCGCUUAGAAGUGAGAAUGCCGGUAUGAGUAGCGAAAGACGGGUGAGAAUCCCGUCC
RNAcentral lists this ribosomal RNA (202 nucleotides) under Bacillus cereus group sp. N21. Its description in RNAcentral is "partial 23S ribosomal RNA". It matches the Rfam family "Bacterial large subunit ribosomal RNA", at positions 1132 to 1335 of the family's 2925-position model. The record is from RNAcentral. Lineage: Bacteria; Bacillati; Bacillota; Bacilli; Caryophanales; Bacillaceae.